RNAcentral lists this ribosomal RNA (561 nucleotides) under Terrazoanthus sinnigeri. RNAcentral's name for it is "partial 16S ribosomal RNA". It matches the Rfam family "Bacterial large subunit ribosomal RNA", at positions 1848 to 2436 of the family's 2925-position model. The record is from RNAcentral. Lineage: Eukaryota; Metazoa; Cnidaria; Anthozoa; Zoantharia; Hydrozoanthidae.
GAGGGUGAGGCCUGCCCAAUGGUUGUAUCUAAAAGCGGUUGAUAAAAGUCGACCUCGUAAGGACAAUUGAAUGGCCGCGGUAACACUGACCGUGAUAAUGUAGCGUAAUCAAUAGCCAAUUAAUUGUUGGCCAGUAUGAAUGGCGCCACGAAGGCCCCACUGUCUUAAGGAAAUUCCCAGUGAAAUUGAAUUCGUAGUGAAGAUGCUACGUCCAAUUUGUUAGACGAAAAGACCCCGUUGAGCUUUACUGGGGCACUUACACGGCCCCGGCCUUCCAAACUAGGCUUACGAUGCCUAGGGAUUGGCCGAAUUUAAAUGGGCGGUUUAGACUAUGUGGCAGCCCCCCGUCGGGGCAGAUGAAACCCCACUCCCCCAUGUCAAAGGGGCUAACCCCCCCCUUGGGGGGGACAGUGUAAGUAGGACAGUUUGGUUGGGGCGACCGCCUUUUAAAGAGUAACGAAGGUGCGCUUAAGGUGCGCAAAUAAUGACUGAAGCCUGACUGCGAGGGUGACACCCCGAGCAGACACCCUCAAGCCCGCCCGAAGGGCGGCGGCGGGGUGG